RNAcentral lists this ribosomal RNA (253 nucleotides) under uncultured bacterium. RNAcentral's name for it is "partial 16S ribosomal RNA". It matches the Rfam family "Bacterial small subunit ribosomal RNA", at positions 524 to 776 of the family's 1533-position model. The record is from RNAcentral.
UACGUAGGUGGCAAGCGUUGUCCGGAUUUAUUGGGCUUAAAGGGUGCGUAGGCGGCUUUGUAAGUCAGUGGUGAAAUACUCUAGCUUAACUAGAGGGGUGCCAUUGAUACUGCGGAGCUUGAGUACAGAUGAGGUAGGCGGAAUUGACGGUGUAGCGGUGAAAUGCAUAGAUAUCGUCAAGAACACCGAUAGCGAAGGCAGCUUACUGGACUGUAACUGACGCUGAUGCACGAAAGUGUGGGGAUCAAACAGG